UUAUGCGGAAUUAUGGGGUGUGAAGGGUGCGUAGACGGGAAGAUAAGUGAGUUGUGAAAUCCCUCGGCUUAACUGAGGAACUGCAACUAAAACUGUUUUUCUUGAGUGCAGGAGAGGUAAGUGGAAUUCCUAGUGUAGCGGUGAAAUGCGUAGAUAUUAGGAGGAACACCAGUGGCGAAGGCGACUUACUGGACUGUAACUGACGUUGAGGCACGAAAGUGUGGGGAGCAAACAGGAUUAGAUACCCUGGUAGUCCACACCGUAAACGAUGGAUACUAGGUGUAGGAGAUAUUAAGUCUUCUGUGCCGUCGCAAACGCAAUAAGUAUCCCACCUGGGGAGUACGGCCGCAAGGUUGAAACUCAA
This 364-nucleotide ribosomal RNA is filed under the name uncultured bacterium. RNAcentral's name for it is "bacterial SSU rRNA". It matches the Rfam family "Bacterial small subunit ribosomal RNA", at positions 541 to 904 of the family's 1533-position model. The record is from RNAcentral.